This 433-nucleotide unclassified non-coding RNA is filed under the name soil metagenome. Its description in RNAcentral is "partial contains 5.8S ribosomal RNA, internal transcribed spacer 2, and large subunit ribosomal RNA". The stretch from base 1 to 120 matches the Rfam family "5.8S ribosomal RNA", at positions 35 to 154 of the family's 154-position model. The record is from RNAcentral.
GAUGAAGAACGUAGCGGAAUGCGAUACGUAAUGUGAAUUGCAGAAUUCAGUGAAUCAUCGAAUCUUUGAACGCAUAUUGCGCUCUCUGGUAUUCCGGAGAGCAUGCUUGUUUGAGUAUCAGUAAACACCUCAACUUCCAUAUCUUUUUUGAAAUGGGAGUUGGACUUGAGUGAUCCCAACGCUUUUCCUCACCGAAAAGUGGCGGGUUACUUGAAAUGCAGGUGCAGCUGGACUUUUCUCUGAGCUAUAAGCAUAUCUAUUUAGUCUGCCUAAAAAACAGAUUAUUACCUUUGCUGCAGCUAACAUAAAGGAGAUUAGUUCUUGUGCUGACUGAUGCAGGAUUCACAAAGACAGGCUUCGGCCGACUUUGUAAACUCGAUCUCAAAUCAAGUAAGACUACCCGCUGAACUUAAGCAUAUCAAUAAGCGGAGGA